UACAGAGGAUGCAAGCGUUAUCCGGAACGAUUGGGCGUAAAGCGUCUGUAGGUGGCUUUUUAAGUCCGCCGUCAAAUCCCAGGGCUCAACUCUGGACAGGCGGUGGAAACUACCAAGCUGGAGUACGGUAGGGGCAGAGGGAAUUUCCGGUGGAGCGGUGAAAUGCGUAGAGAUCGGAAGGAACAUCAGUGGCGAAAGCGACUUCCUGGACCAGUACCGACGUUCAGGCACGAAAGCGUGGGGAGCAAACAGG
This 253-nucleotide ribosomal RNA is filed under the name uncultured bacterium. Its description in RNAcentral is "partial 16S ribosomal RNA". It matches the Rfam family "Bacterial small subunit ribosomal RNA", at positions 524 to 776 of the family's 1533-position model. The record is from RNAcentral.